AGUGAACGCUGGCGGUAGGCCUAACACAUGCAAGUCGAACGGCAGCACAGUAAGAGCUUGCUCUUACGGGUGGCGAGUGGCGGACGGGUGAGGAAUACAUCGGAAUCUACUUUUUCGUGGGGGAUAACGUAGGGAAACUUACGCUAAUACCGCAUACGACCUACGGGUGAAAGCAGGGGAUCUUCGGACCUUGCGCGAUUGAAUGAGCCGAUGUCGGAUUAGCUAGUUGGCGGGGUAAAGGCCCACCAAGGCGACGAUCCGUAGCUGGUCUGAGAGGAUGAUCGGCCACACUGGAACUGAGACACGGUCCAGACUCCUACGGGAGGCAGCAGUGGGGAAUAUUGGACAAUGGGCGCAAGCCUGAUCCAGCCAUACCGCGUGGGUGAAGAAGGCCUUCGGGUUGUAAAGCCCUUUUGUUGGGAAGGAAAAGCAGCAGGUUAAUACCCCGCUGUUCUGACGGUACCCAAAGAAUAAGCACCGGCUAACUUCGUG
This 492-nucleotide ribosomal RNA is filed under the name uncultured bacterium. RNAcentral describes it as "partial 16S ribosomal RNA". It matches the Rfam family "Bacterial small subunit ribosomal RNA", at positions 29 to 507 of the family's 1533-position model. The record is from RNAcentral.